Long non-coding RNA from Peromyscus leucopus (white-footed mouse), 827 nucleotides. RefSeq lists it as uncharacterized. The record is from RefSeq and is a predicted model, not a curated record. Lineage: Eukaryota; Metazoa; Chordata; Mammalia; Rodentia; Cricetidae. The transcript has 4 exons.
AAUUUCUACACCACAACCUUUGCAAUCACCGCCACCACCCCUAGGUCCCAUGCCAGCAAGUGCCCGGUUGCUACAGAGGUGACAGGGCACAUUGGGAAGAAGGCUUGUUGAUUGCAGAAGACACUUAAGUCCCGUGUUUCCAGUGCUGUGAGGUGUAAUGAGCUGGUCUGAGGAUAUCAGAUGGAAUCUCCAAGAAAAAAAAUGUUUUCCUGAAGUUUACCAUGAACUGGAUUUAAGGUAAAUCUUUCUAUUCAUGAAUCUACAGUUUCCAGAGUCUUCCCAGCAUUUCUGGUGUUCUGUUGUGCCAAGUCUCUCAGAUUCCAAGUCUCUGCAUGGAUCUAUUUUGGUUGCUCAUUGGCUGUUUCAAGGGACCACUCUCUUUCAAAUGUAAGUACCAGAAGGACUGAAGAACUGGACUUCUCAGUUGUUGGUUAGUGAAUGUGUCACUGUAGAAACCUUUGAAGAGGUAAUUGAUCACAGGGUUGGUACAAUUUAAUAGCCCAUAAACUUAGAUAAAGGAUAUGGGGGUAUAGAUUAGAAUGGUGUUCUGAGCCAUGUGGUACUAGUCAGGAAAAGUGGCCCAGCAAAGUGGAGACUACUGAGAAUUCCUAUAAAAACUGAAAUAUGGAAUGUGUAGCGAUGGAAGGAAUAGGAAUGCCAUUGAAAGGAGAAUGUAAAACAGAAAGAUGUGGGCAUAGUAGGUGCUUACAUUUCCUUAGUUAAAGAUCACAGGAGUCAUAAACACACCACCAGUUAAUAAAAUCAAUGCCAAGAUAAUUUAUAAAUAGGUAUGUCUUUAUUUAUUUAUUUUUAUCUGCAAAGGAAGU